UACGGGGGGGGCAAGCGUUGUUCGGAAUUACCGGGCGUAAAGGGCUCGUAGGCGGCCAACUAAGUCAGACGUGAAAUCCCCAGGCUCAACCUGGGAACUGCGUCUGAUACUGGAUGGCUUGAAUCCGGGAGAGGGAUGCAGAAUUCCAGGUGUAGCGGUGAAAUGCGUAGAUAUCUGGAGGAAUACCGGUGGCGAAGGCGGCAUCCUGGACCGGCAUUGACGCUGAGGAGCGAAAGCCAGGGGAGCAAACGGG
RNAcentral lists this ribosomal RNA (253 nucleotides) under uncultured bacterium. Its description in RNAcentral is "partial 16S ribosomal RNA". It matches the Rfam family "Bacterial small subunit ribosomal RNA", at positions 524 to 776 of the family's 1533-position model. The record is from RNAcentral.